UCUGUCCUGUUAAUAGAGUGAAAAAAAAAAAAAAAAAACAUUGUUAGCUUAACGGUAGUUUAGUCUGCCUAAUAUGAGUGUAUAUGUGUGUGUGUUUUCUGGCACCAUGCAGGUUCUGGUCCCUCAUUCACACCCUCUGCUUCAGCAUCCUCUAUGAUCUUGUUGUGUGUGCUAUUUGGACAUUAAUGAAGACAGUGUGAAAGUGCCAAGUGCCAAAGACCAAUUAGUAACAAGUCUAUGUAAAUGUAGUCAUUGUUAAGUUGUGGUUGUACUUCAGAUAAGAGCUGACACGAGUUCUUUCAAAGUUUCCACUACUGAUAGUUCAGUUCUGUCAUAAACUCACCGCAGACACAUCUCACCUCACGCUUCCUCCCUGCUGAGAUUUAAGCAGCAGCUGAAGGUGUUUUACUCUCAUAUCCACAGCAGUUAUAAUGACGACUGAAGCUGCUUCUGUUCCUCUGCUAACGUACUGCCAAGCUACGCACAAGCGUCAGUAGUACUUUCAUCAUGGAGUGACAUGAAUAUAAGACUAUGCUAAGUAUGAGCUCGUCACGGUGGGCACGGCGCAGUGGUUAGCACUGUCGCCUCAUAGCAACAGGAUUCCGCGUUCGAAUCCCCGGCAGGUUUGCUAUGUUGGGUUUGGGGUUUGCAUUGUUCUCCCCAGUGCCUGAGUGGGUUUCCUCCGGAUAAUCCGGGGCUUUCUCCCACAAUACCGAUAACAUGCACAGAAGAUGGAAAACAUGAAAAAAGUAGUAGAGUGUUGUCUGUCGUGUGUGUGUGUGUGUGUGUGUGGGGGGGUGUGUGUGUGUGUGAAUGUUUUGUGUGAGAGAGAGGGAGAGAGAUACGACGCUGAGACUCCGCGGUCCUUGCGCUCACCAGUGGAGAGGUAACUACUGUGUGUAUUUCUGUUUUAUAAUAUGACCUUAUUGUGUUGGGCUUGGGCUACAUAUUUUGUAGUCAUUUAGUUGUGACGGCAGAAAUUUGUUAUUAUAUUUAAAAGGGAAGCUCUUAGCAGUUACUAUUUAUAAUCAUCAUAUAUGAGGAUAAAGGCUCCUGCACGCUGUGAUUUACAGUAGCGCCAUCAUUUCUGUCCAAAGGUAUCAGGUAUUUUCAUCAGAUCAUAUUAAUAUACAGUAAAGUAUAGGAGCUCAUUCACAUUAGUAACAUAAGUGUCACUGCCUCACUUGGUCUGGUGUGACCAAUAAAUCUUUCGAUGGCUAAUGCGAGAUAACAUAAGUCACAUGCUAGUAUACUUUUAUUACACUUUUUCUACUGGUCUUUGUGUUUCAGUAUUGACCAUCAAACAGUAUAUAUGCAUAUAUAGUAUGCAUAAAAACAUAAAAAAGUAGGUGAAGGUGUUUUACUCUCAUAUCCACAGCAGUUAUAAUGACGACUGAAGCUGCUUCUGUUCCUCUGCUAACGUACUGCCAAGCUACGCACAAGCGUCAGUAGUACUUUCAUCAUGGAGUGACAUGAAUAUAAGACUAUGCUAAGUAUGAGCUCGUCACGGUGGGCACGGCGCAGUGGUUAGCACUGUCGCCUCAUAGCAACAGGAUUCCGCGUUCGAAUCCCCGGCAGGUUUGCUAUGUUGGGUUUGGGGUUUGCAUUGUUCUCCCCAGUGCCUGAGUGGGUUUCCUCCGGAUAAUCCGGGGCUUUCUCCCACAAUACCGAUAACAUGCACAGAAGAUGGAAAACAUGAAAAAAGUAGUAGAGUGUUGUCUGUCGUGUGUGUGUGUGUGUGUGUGUGUGGGGGGGGUGUGUGUGUGUGUGAAUGUUUUGUGUGAGAGAGAGGGAGAGAGAUACGACGCUGAGACUCCGCGGUCCUUGCGCUCACCAGUGGAGAGGUUUCUGUUUUAUAAUAUGACCUUAUUGUGUUGGGCUUGGGCUACAUAUUUUGUAGUCAUUUAGUUGUGACGGCAGAAAUUUGUUAUUAUAUUUAAAAGGGAAGCUCUUAGCAGUUACUAUUUAUAAUCAUCAUAUAUGAGGAUAAAGGCUCCUGCACGCUGUGAUUUACAGUAGCGCCAUCAUUUCUGUCCAAAGGUAUCAGGUAUUUUCAUCAGAUCAUAUUAAUAUACAGUAAAGUAUAGGAGCUCAUUCACAUUAGUAACAUAAGUGUCACUGCCUCACUUGGUCUGGUGUGACCAAUAAAUCUUUCGAUGGCUAAUGCGAGAUAACAUAAGUCACAUGCUAGUAUACUUUUAUUACACUUUUUCUACUGGUCUUUGUGUUUCAGUAUUGACCAUCAAACAGUAUAUAUGCAUAUAUAGUAUGCAGUCAAAGGAAAUUCUGUAAACCUGUAAAACUCUGACCGUUUGUCUUGUGAAGGAAAAGCCUGGAAAGAAGGAAGAUGGAAAUAAAUAAAGGCGAGGUUGUUACAUUCCAUCACUGACUAAUUACUGGAAUUUUACAGUCUAUGUAAAUGUAGUCAUUGUUAAGUUGUGGUUGUACUUCAGAUAAGAGCUGACACGAGUUCUUUCAAAGUUUCCACUACUGAUAGUUCAGUUCUGUCAUAAACUCACCGCAGACACAUCUCACCUCACGCUUCCUCCCUGCUGAGAUUUAAGCAGCAGCUGAAGGUGUUUUACUCUCAUAUCCACAGCAGUUAUAAUGACGACUGAAGCUGCUUCUGUUCCUCUGCUAACGUACUGCCAAGCUACGCACAAGCGUCAGUAGUACUUUCAUCAUGGAGUGACAAGAAUAUAAACUUAUGCUAACUAUGACCUAAUCGCGGGCGGCACGGUGGUGCAGUGGUUAGCACUGGCGCCUCAUAGCGACAGGGUUCCAGGAUCGAACCCCGAGCCUUCUAUGUGCAGUUUACAUGUUCUCUCCGUGCCAGGA
This is a long non-coding RNA of Scatophagus argus, 2838 nucleotides long. RefSeq lists it as uncharacterized. Lineage: Eukaryota; Metazoa; Chordata; Actinopteri; Scatophagidae. The record is from RefSeq and is a predicted model, not a curated record. The transcript has 2 exons.